RNAcentral lists this ribosomal RNA (746 nucleotides) under uncultured bacterium. RNAcentral's name for it is "bacterial SSU rRNA". It matches the Rfam family "Bacterial small subunit ribosomal RNA", at positions 8 to 751 of the family's 1533-position model. The record is from RNAcentral.
AGAGUUUGAUCAUGGCUCAGAUUGAACGCUGGCGGCAUGCUUUACACAUGCAAGUCGAACGGUAACAGGCCGCAAGGUGCUGACGGGUGGCGAACGGGUGAGUAAUGCAUCGGAACGUGCCCAGUCGUGGGGGAUAACGCAGCGAAAGCUGCGCUAAUACCGCAUACGAUCUAUGGAUGAAAGCGGGGGACCGUAAGGCCUCGCGCGAUUGGAGCGGCCGAUGUCAGAUUAGGUAGUUGGUGGGGUAAAGGCUCACCAAGCCGACGAUCUGUAGCUGGUCUGAGAGGACGACCAGCCACACUGGGACUGAGACACGGCCCAGGCUCCUACGGGAGGCAGCAGUGGGGAAUUUUGGACAAUGGGCGCAAGCCUGAUCCAGCAAUGCCGCGUGCAGGAAGAAGGCCUUCGGGUUGUAAACUGCUUUUGUACGGAACGAAAAGGCCCUGGUUAAUACCUGGGGCUCAUGACGGUACCGUAAGAAUAAGCACCGGCUAACUACGUGCCAGCAGCCGCGGUAAUACGUAGGGUGCAAGCGUUAAUCGGAAUUACUGGGCGUAAAGCGUGCGCAGGCGGUUUUGUAAGACAGGCGUGAAAUCCCCGGGCUCAACCUGGGAAUUGCGCUUGUGACUGCAAGGCUGGAGUGCGGCAGAGGGGGAUGGAAUUCCGCGUGUAGCAGUGAAAUGCGUAGAUAUGCGGAGGAACACCGAUGGCGAAGGCAAUCCCCUGGGCCUGCACUGACGCUCAUG